RNAcentral lists this ribosomal RNA (1929 nucleotides) under metagenome. RNAcentral describes it as "bacterial LSU rRNA". It matches the Rfam family "Bacterial large subunit ribosomal RNA", at positions 3 to 1973 of the family's 2925-position model. The record is from RNAcentral.
UCAAGUGACUAAGUGUAUGUGGUGGAUGCCUUGGCGAUCACAGGCGAUGAAGGACGUAGUAGCUUGCGAUAAGCUGCGGGGAGCCGGCAAACGGGCUUUGAUCCGCAGAUUUCCGAAUGGGGGAACCCACCGACGUAGGUCGGUAUCACGUACUGAAUACAUAGGUGCGUGAGGCGAACGGAGCGAACUGAAACAUCUAAGUAGCUCCAGGAAAAGAAAUCAACCGAGAUUGCGAAAGUAGCGGCGAGCGAAAUUGCAGCAGCCCAGUGUUCUGAUAGCACGAACGACAGCAGAAGGGUCUGGAAAGGCCUGCUAUAGAGGGUGAUAGCCCCGUAUGCGAAAUCGGACGUGUGGUACUAAGGAACCGAUAAGUAGGGCGGGACACGUGACAUCCUGUCUGAAGAUGGGGGGACCAUCCUCCAAGGCUAAAUACUCGUGAUCGACCGAUAGUGAACCAGUACUGUGAAGGAAAGGCGAAAAGAACCCCGGGAGGGGAGUGAAAUAGAACCUGAAACCGCAUACAUACAAACAGUAGGAGCCCCUGCAGUGGGGUGACUGCGUACCUUUUGCAUAAUGGGUCAGCGACUUACGUUUUGUGGCGAGCUUAACCGAGUAGGGGAGGCGUAGCGAAAGCGAGUUCGAAUAGAGCGAAGAGUCUCAAGGCGUAGACCCGAAACCAGAUGAGCUAUCCAUGGCCAGGUUGAAGGUGUGGUAACACACACUGGAGGACCGAACCGACUAGUGUUGCAAAAUUAGCGGAUGAGCUGUGGAUAGGGGUGAAAGGCUUAACAAAUCUGGAGAUAGCUGGUUCUCCCCGAAAACUAUUGAGGUAGUGCCUCGUGUAUUGCUCCAGGGGGUAGAGCACUGUUAUGGCUAGGGGGACAUGGCGUCUUACCAAACCAUGGCAAACUCCGAAUACUUGGAAGUAAGAGCACGGGAGACAGAGCACCGGGUGCUAACGUCCGGACUCAAGAGGGAAACAACCCAGACCGCCGUUUAAGGUCCCAAAUAUUGACUAAGUGGAAAACGAAGUGUGAAGGCUAAGACAGUCAGGAAGUUGGCUUAGAAGCAGCCAUCCUUCAAAGAAAGCGUAAUAGCUCACUGAUCGAGUCCUCAUGCGCGGAAGAUGUAACGGGGCUAAGUCAAUAACCGAAAGCGCGGAUUUGCACGCAAGUGCAAGUGGUAGGGGAGCGUUCUGUAAGCCUGCGAAGGUGGUUCGAGAGGACUGCUGGAGGUAUCAGAAGUGCGAAUGCUGACAUGAGUAACGUUAAAGCGGGUGAAAAGCCCGCUCGCCGUAAGCCCAAGGUUUCCUGCUCUACGUUCAUCGGAGCAGGGUGAGUCGGCCCCUAAGGCCAGGCUGAGAAGCGUAGUCGAUGGGAAGCAGAUUAAUAUUUCUGCACCAUGUGCAAGUGCGAUGGGGGGACGGAGUGCGAAAGAUCAUCCGGGUGUUGGAUGUCCCGGUUUGUGAGUGUAGAAGGCCGACAGGCAAAUCCGUCGGCGGAUCUUCGAGACAAAGCAUCGAGGUUCUACGGAACCGAAGUGAUCGGAAGUGCUUCCAGGAAAAGCCUCUAAGCUUCAGCUUGUACAUGACCGUACCGUAAACCGACACUGGUGGGCGAGUUGAAUAUACUCAGGCGCUUGAGAGAACUCGGGAGAAGGAACUCGGCAAAUUGACACCGUAACUUCGGGAUAAGGUGUGCCUUUGUAGCGUGAAGAGAGAAACACUCGGAGCGUGAAGAGGCCUCAGAGAAUCGGUGGCUGCAACUGUUUAUUAAAAACACAGCACUCUGCAAAGACGAAAGUCGACGUAUAGGGUGUGAUGCCUGCCCGGUGCUGGAAGAUUAAGUGAUGGGGUGAGAGCUCCUGAUCGAAGUCCCAGUAAACGGCGGCCGUAACUAUAACGGUCCUAAGGUAGCGAAAUUCCUUGUC